GGGUUGUGAGGUUAAGCGACUAAGCGUACACGGUGGAUGCCCUGGCAGUCAGAGGCGAUGAAGGACGUGCUAAUCUGCGAUAAGCGUCGGUGAGGUGAUAUGAACCGUUAUAACCGGCGAUUUCCGAAUGGGGAAACCCAGUGUGUUUCGACACACUAUCAUUAACUGAAUCCAUAGGUUAAUGAGGCGAACCGGGGGAACUGAAACAUCUAAGUACCCCGAGGAAAAGAAAUCAACCGAGAUUCCCCCAGUAGCGGCGAGCGAACGGGGAGGAGCCCAGAGCCUGAAUCAGUGUGUGUGUUAGUGGAAGCGUCUGGAAAGGCGCGCGAUACAGGGUGACAGCCCCGUACACAAAAAUGCACAUAUUGUGAGCUCGAUGAGUAGGGCGGGACACGUGGUAUCCUGUCUGAAUAUGGGGGGACCAUCCUCCAAGGCUAAAUACUCCUGACUGACCGAUAGUGAACCAGUACCGUGAGGGAAAGGCGAAAAGAACCCCGGCGAGGGGAGUGAAAAAGAACCUGAAACCGUGUACGUACAAGCAGUGGGAGCCUCUUAAUGGGGUGACUGCGUACCUUUUGUAUAAUGGGUCAGCGACUUAUAUUCUGUAGCAAGGUUAACCGAAUAGGGGAGCCGAAGGGAAACCGAGUCUUAACUGGGCGUUAAGUUGCAGGGUAUAGACCCGAAACCCGGUGAUCUAGCCAUGGGCAGGUUGAAGGUUGGGUAACACUAACUGGAGGACCGAACCGACUAAUGUUGAAAAAUUAGCGGAUGACUUGUGGCUGGGGGUGAAAGGCCAAUCAAACCGGGAGAUAGCUGGUUCUCCCCGAAAGCUAUUUAGGUAGCGCCUCGUGAAUUCAUCUCCGGGGGUAGAGCACUGUUUCGGCAAGGGGGUCAUCCCGACUUACCAACCCGAUGCAAACUGCGAAUACCGGAGAAUGUUAUCACGGGAGACACACGGCGGGUGCUAACGUCCGUCGUGAAGAGGGAAACAACCCAGACCGCCAGCUAAGGUCCCAAAGUCAUGGUUAAGUGGGAAACGAUGUGGGAAGGCCCAGACAGCCAGGAUGUUGGCUUAGAAGCAGCCAUCAUUUAAAGAAAGCGUAAUAGCUCACUGGUCGAGUCGGCCUGCGCGGAAGAUGUAACGGGGCUAAACCAUGCACCGAAGCUGCGGCAGCGACACUAUGUGUUGUUGGGUAGGGGAGCGUUCUGUAAGCCUGUGAAGGUGGCCUGUGAGGGUUGCUGGAGGUAUCAGAAGUGCGAAUGCUGACAUAAGUAACGAUAAAGCGGGUGAAAAGCCCGCUCGCCGGAAGACCAAGGGUUCCUGUCCAACGUUAAUCGGGGCAGGGUGAGUCGACCCCUAAGGCGAGGCCGAAAGGCGUAGUCGAUGGGAAACAGGUUAAUAUUCCUGUACUUGGUGUUACUGCGAAGGGGGGACGGAGAAGGCUAUGUUGGCCGGGCGACGGUUGUCCCGGUUUAAGCGUGUAGGCUGGUUUUCCAGGCAAAUCCGGAAAAUCAAGGCUGAGGCGUGAUGACGAGGCACUACGGUGCUGAAGCGACAAAUGCCCUGCUUCCAGGAAAAGCCUCUAAGCAUCAGGUAACAUCAAAUCGUACCCCAAACCGACACAGGUGGUCAGGUAGAGAAUACCAAGGCGCUUGAGAGAACUCGGGUGAAGGAACUAGGCAAAAUGGUGCCGUAACUUCGGGAGAAGGCACGCUGAUAUGUAGGUGAAGCGACUUGCUCGUGGAGCUGAAAUCAGUCGAAGAUACCAGCUGGCUGCAACUGUUUAUUAAAAACACAGCACUGUGCAAACACGAAAGUGGACGUAUACGGUGUGACGCCUGCCCGGUGCCGGAAGGUUAAUUGAUGGGGUUAGCGGUAACGCGAAGCUCUUGAUCGAAGCCCCGGUAAACGGCGGCCGUAACUAUAACGGUCCUAAGGUAGCGAAAUUCCUUGUCGGGUAAGUUCCGACCUGCACGAAUGGCGUAAUGAUGGCCAGGCUGUCUCCACCCGAGACUCAGUGAAAUUGAACUCGCUGUGAAGAUGCAGUGUACCCGCGGCAAGACGGAAAGACCCCGUGAACCUUUACUAUAGCUUGACACUGAACAUUGAGCCUUGAUGUGUAGGAUAGGUGGGAGGCUUUGAAGUGUGGACGCCAGUCUGCAUGGAGCCGACCUUGAAAUACCACCCUUUAAUGUUUGAUGUUCUAACGUGGGCCCCUUACCGGGGUUGCGGACAGUGUCUGGUGGGUAGUUUGACUGGGGCGGUCUCCUCCUAAAGAGUAACGGAGGAGCACGAAGGUUGGCUAAUCCUGGUCGGACAUCAGGAGGUUAGUGCAAUGGCAUAAGCCAGCUUGACUGCGAGCGUGACGGCGCGAGCAGGUGCGAAAGCAGGUCAUAGUGAUCCGGUGGUUCUGAAUGGAAGGGCCAUCGCUCAACGGAUAAAAGGUACUCCGGGGAUAACAGGCUGAUACCGCCCAAGAGUUCAUAUCGACGGCGGUGUUUGGCACCUCGAUGUCGGCUCAUCACAUCCUGGGGCUGAAGUAGGUCCCAAGGGUAUGGCUGUUCGCCAUUUAAAGUGGUACGCGAGCUGGGUUUAGAACGUCGUGAGACAGUUCGGUCCCUAUCUGCCGUGGGCGCUGGAGAACUGAGGGGGGCUGCUCCUAGUACGAGAGGACCGGAGUGGACGCAUCACUGGUGUUCGGGUUGUCAUGCCAAUGGCACUGCCCGGUAGCUAAAUGCGGAAGAGAUAAGUGCUGAAAGCAUCUAAGCACGAAACUUGCCCCGAGAUGAGUUCUCCCUGACUCCUUGAGAGUCCUGAAGGAACGUUGAAGACGACGACGUU
Molecule: ribosomal RNA, 2842 nt
Filed under: Escherichia coli NB8
Lineage: Bacteria; Pseudomonadati; Pseudomonadota; Gammaproteobacteria; Enterobacterales; Enterobacteriaceae
Description: bacterial LSU rRNA
Rfam family: Bacterial large subunit ribosomal RNA
Source: RNAcentral